GCUCCUGUGGCGCAAUCGGUCAGCGCGCGGUACUUAUAAUGCCGAGGUUGUGAGUUCGAGCCUCACCUGGAGCA
This 74-nucleotide transfer RNA is filed under the name Takifugu rubripes (torafugu). RNAcentral's name for it is "tRNA-Ile (TAT) (tRNA-Ile-TAT-1-1)". It matches the Rfam family "tRNA". From Rfam's summary of the family: Transfer RNA (tRNA) molecules are approximately 80 nucleotides in length. Their secondary structure includes four short double-helical elements and three loops (D, anti-codon, and T loops). The record is from RNAcentral. Lineage: Eukaryota; Metazoa; Chordata; Actinopteri; Tetraodontiformes; Tetraodontidae.